RNAcentral lists this ribosomal RNA (426 nucleotides) under uncultured bacterium. RNAcentral's name for it is "bacterial SSU rRNA". It matches the Rfam family "Bacterial small subunit ribosomal RNA", at positions 96 to 524 of the family's 1533-position model. The record is from RNAcentral.
UGGCGGACGGGUGAGUAGAGCUUGGGGAUUUGCCUUUUUGAGGGGGAUAACCACUGGAAACGGUGGCUAAUACCGCAUAAAGUCUGAGGACAAAAGGUUGCUUCGGCAGUCGCGAGAAGAGAAGCCCAAGUAAGAUUAGCUAGUUGGUAGGGUAAGGGCUUACCAAGGCGAUGAUCUUUAGCUGUUCUGAGAGGAAGGGCAGCCACACUGGGACUGAGACACGGCCCAGACUCCUACGGGAGGCAGCAGUGGGGGAUAUUGCACAAUGGGGGGAACCCUGAUGCAGCCAUGCCGCGUGUGUGAAGAAGGCUUUCGGGUUGUAAAGCACUUUCAGUGGGGAGGAAAGGUAGCGUGUGAAGAGCGCGUUGCUGUGACGUUACCCACAGAAGAAGCACCGGCUAACUCCGUGCCAGCAGCCGCGGUAAU